This 253-nucleotide ribosomal RNA is filed under the name uncultured bacterium. RNAcentral's name for it is "partial 16S ribosomal RNA". It matches the Rfam family "Bacterial small subunit ribosomal RNA", at positions 524 to 776 of the family's 1533-position model. The record is from RNAcentral.
UACAGAGGUCCCGAGCGUUGUUCGGAUUCAUUGGGCGUAAAGGGUGCGUAGGCGGCGGGGUAAGUUUGAUGUGAAAUCCCGGGGCUCAACCCUGGAAUUGCAUUGAAUACUACCUUGCUGGAGUACCGGAGAGGAAACUGGAAUUUACGGUGUAGCAGUGAAAUGCGUAGAGAUCGUAAGGAAGACCAGUGGCGAAGGCGAGUUUCUGGACGGUAACUGACGCUGAGGCACGAAGGCCAGGGGAGCAAACGGG